AUACGGAGGGUGCAAGCGUUAAUCGGAAUUACUGGGCGUAAAGCGCGCGUAGGCGGCUUGGUCAGUUGGGGGUGAAAUCCCAGGGCUUAACCCUGGAACUGCCCUCAAUACUGCCAGUCUUGAGUUCGAGAGAGGUAAGUGGAAUUCCUAGUGUAGAGGUGAAAUUCGUAGAUAUUAGGAAGAACACCAGUGGCGAAGGCGGCUUACUGGCUCGAUACUGACGCUGAGGCGCGAAAGCGAGGGGAGCAAACAGGAUUAGAAACCCCAGUAGUCC
Molecule: ribosomal RNA, 274 nt
Filed under: uncultured bacterium
Lineage: Bacteria
Description: partial 16S ribosomal RNA
Rfam family: Bacterial small subunit ribosomal RNA
Source: RNAcentral